UGACCUGAGUUCCAGUCCCG
This 20-nucleotide unclassified non-coding RNA is filed under the name Mus musculus (house mouse). RNAcentral's name for it is "oocyte_clustered_small_RNA10485". The record is from RNAcentral. Lineage: Eukaryota; Metazoa; Chordata; Mammalia; Rodentia; Muridae.